Long non-coding RNA from Ailuropoda melanoleuca (giant panda), 877 nucleotides. RefSeq lists it as uncharacterized. NCBI's taxonomy places the organism in Eukaryota, Metazoa, Chordata, Mammalia, Carnivora, Ursidae. The record is from RefSeq and is a predicted model, not a curated record. The transcript has 3 exons.
ACUCACUCCUCUGAGUGCUCCUGGACACUCAGUUUGUCUCCCGUUCCAAUAUACUAUUUUAAGAUUUUAUUUUUUUAAAGUCAUCUCCACAUCCGAUGUGGAGCUCGAACCCACAACCCCAAGCACCGACAGGUGGGUGAUCAAACCACAUUCCAGUCCUCCCUGCGACCAACUUCUGCCUUAUUUGUUUCCCGUUCUUGGAGAGGUUCUGACAUUUUGCUUCCUGAAUUCAUGCUUCUGUUUAAGUGCCUUCUCCGUGUCAACCGUAUUAGAAUAAAUGGUUAUGAGCAAGACGGUGGGAGGACGCUCCAGCACACGGCCAGGAAGGGACCCACGUAGCUGGAAGCCGUGGCCUCGGGGAAGUACAUUCAAGCAGGGAGCAGGCAGGCCAGGAGGCUUCCUGGCAGACACACGUCUGAGCCAAGAUCUGACAGGGAGAGAGGUUAACCAGGCCAAGAAGGUGGGCUGCAGCGUGGGUCAAGCCCACGGAGCAGGGCACAAGCAGGAGCAGAGGAAGACCCAUCUGGGGUUUAUCCCGAGAGCCCCGCGGAAUCACGGACUUCACCUCCAGCAACCGCAGACACCAGCAAGGACAGCGCUUCGAGAGCCGGGAAGGGGAGGGGGCUCUCCCUGGGUGACCGCCUGUACUGGAGGGCAGAGGGUCUCAGACCGGAGCAUCAGAAUGCCCAGACGUGCUGGCUCAGGACUGGGGCGGGCCUGAGAACCUUCAUUUCUGGCAAGCGCGAAUCGGCAGGGAGCCUGAGGACGCCAGGCUUCUCAGAGGACCCCCAGCACGGGAAGGUUCAGAGCGGAUUUCGCCCCAGAAUCGGGACAAGGCGGGGCCGGGUGCUUCCUGACACAUGGCACUGGAUGCCCA